RNAcentral lists this ribosomal RNA (253 nucleotides) under uncultured bacterium. Its description in RNAcentral is "partial 16S ribosomal RNA". It matches the Rfam family "Bacterial small subunit ribosomal RNA", at positions 524 to 776 of the family's 1533-position model. The record is from RNAcentral.
UACGAAGGGGGCUAGCGUUGUUCGGAUUUACUGGGCGGAAAGCGCACGUAGGCGGAUUGGUCAGUUAGAGGUGAAAUCCCGAAGCUCAACUCCGGAAUUGCCUUUAAGACUGCAUCGCUAGAAUUGUGGAGAGGUAAGUGGAAUUCCGAGUGUAGAGGUGAAAUUCGUAGAUAUUCGGAAGAACACCAGUGGCGAAGGCGACUUACUGGACACAUAUUGACGCUGAGGUGCGAAAGCGUGGGGAGCAAACAGG